GGAGGUAGUGACAAUAAAUCACAAUGCGGGACUAUUCGUCUUGCAAUUGGAUUGAGAACAAUGUACAACUCUUAUCGAUAAGCCAUUGGAGGGCAAGUCUGGUGCCAGCAGCCGCGGUAAUUCCAGCUCCAAUAGCGUAUAUUAACGUUGUUGCAGUUAAAAAGCUCGUAGUUGAAGUGUGGGUGGUGCCUACUUCAUGACUUCGGUUGUGAGGCAGAUCACUACCCCCUUCCAGUAUCCAGUAGUGGGUAUUCAGUUACUUACUACUGUGUGUUGGUCAUUUACUGUGAGAAAAUUAGAGUGUUCAAAGCAGGCGUUUGCUUGAAUAGAUUAGCAUGGAAUAAUAAUUGAAGGCUUUCGUGUUCGAUUUGAUUGGUUUGUUCAUGGAAGCAAGGUUAAAAGGAACAGUUGGGGGUAUUCAUAUUCACUAGUUAGAGGUGAAAUUCUCGGAUUUAUGGAAGAUGAACAAGUGCGAAAGCA
This 480-nucleotide ribosomal RNA is filed under the name Blastocystis sp. RNAcentral describes it as "SSU rRNA". It matches the Rfam family "Eukaryotic small subunit ribosomal RNA", at positions 460 to 953 of the family's 1831-position model. Lineage: Eukaryota; Bigyra; Opalinata; Blastocystidae. The record is from RNAcentral.